This is a long non-coding RNA of Rhinolophus ferrumequinum (greater horseshoe bat), 1435 nucleotides long. RefSeq lists it as uncharacterized. The transcript is spliced from 4 exons. Lineage: Eukaryota; Metazoa; Chordata; Mammalia; Chiroptera; Rhinolophidae. The record is from RefSeq and is a predicted model, not a curated record.
UUAUCAAAGAGUUUGCUCUGGGAAGGUAAGGAUAAAUUAAAAUAAAUCCAACCACAACCAAGUUUGGCCUGCCACGUGGUAUUUGGUUUCAGAACUUUGCAGAGCCUUUGGGUUCUCAUGAAUAUGGUGGAUGAACACGAAGAGGAGGGUGUAUGCAAACCUCCCUGACCGCAGCGCCCUCUCUGCUACAAGGAAAAAGCAGCUCAUCAGCUGGCAGCUCAGAUUAUACGUGUCAGCUGUGACAUCACAAAGCAAGCUCCCAGAUGGUACCAACUGAGCCUUUCAUCAGCAUUUUUAACACUGAUGCCAACACAAAAUGGGCCCAGCAGUCUAAUCACAAUUUACAUACUAAUGGGUAGACCCUAGUGAAUGAAGCUUGCUCGCUCUCACGAGGCAAGCUGCCAUGUUGUGAGCUGCCCUAUGGAAAGGCCUAUUUGGCAAGGAACUGAGGGCAGCCAACAGCCAUCGAGGAACUGAAACCCUCAGUCCAACAACCAAUGAAGAAUCCUGCCAACAACCAUAGAAGCGAGCUUCAAAAUGAAUCUUUCCCUGGUCAACACCGUAACUAUAGUCUGUGAGGGACGCUGUGGCAGAAGACCUACCUAAACCAUGCCUGGACUCCUGACUCACAGAGACUGUGAGAUAACAAACAUUUGUUGUUUUAAGUCACUAAGUUUUGAGGUACUUUGUUACACAGCAUUAGCUUACUAAUAUAUUCAUCUCAGUCUGCUGCAAACUACAGAAAGUACUCACCUGUGGUAUGACUCAUGCCUUACAAUCUUCAAGAAUAAAAGGCAGUCAUAUUUGCAUAUUUGCAUAAAUAAGGAUAGGGAAGAGUACAAAACCUCUCUGAACAUCUCUAGUUAAAAAAAAACCACAUACAACGUUAUUUGUUUGGCAAGAUGGCAUAGAAGAGAGAACAUUUAUAGGCACAAGUUGUACAUUCAAAUCAUUAAUUACACAAAUUUGAGCAAAUUGUAUAAAUUCUCUGGGAUUCAGUUUCUUCAUGAAAAAGAUGGUGAUGAGAUAGGGCUAGACUGUAAGAACUGCUAGCAUUUUAAUACUGUGAUUUGAGGAACUCAGGAAGCCCUCCUACCCCCAAUCUCUUUCUCAUCAGCUAAAAAUUCUACAUUAGGAAUUUGUUCCUUAGUGCUUCUAAACUGUCCCUGAACAUACUACUCAAGGGGAGACAUUUUGAAUGGUGAGAUGGAGAGGAAAUUUUAUAGAUACUUUUGAGAACAGCGCAGAGAGAUAAAGCCUUUGUUGCUGUGAAGGAUAGUGGUAGCAGCAACAAAGAUAAGCACGGUUGAUUUCACAAUUUUGAGGACCUAGUAGGCUUCCAUCUUUCUGAUAUAAGCAAUCUAUAGUCACAUUUCUCCCUCUUACCUUGAAUGCAAGGAAGGUUAGAACAAACGCAAGUUCGGUCCCAGCCACU